This 10227-nucleotide long non-coding RNA is filed under the name Ricinus communis (castor bean). RNAcentral describes it as "long non-coding RNA (RCOM_LNC002820)". Lineage: Eukaryota; Viridiplantae; Streptophyta; Magnoliopsida; Malpighiales; Euphorbiaceae. The record is from RNAcentral.
GUUCAGCUUCUGGUUCUGCUGCUGGUGCAUCAGCAGACUCGGUUGUCUCUUUCGCCACCUCAGGCUCCUCCUUUGGAGACUCCUCCUUAGUCUCCUCCACAACAGCAGGCUCCUCAGGUGUUUCCUUAGGAGUUUCUUCUUCAGUUUUUUCUACCGCUGCUGGCUCUUCUGUGACGACAACCCCCUUAGUCUGAUCUUCUACCACCUCUGUAGUCUCAACUGCUUCAGUUGGAGUCUCAUCAUUCUUUUGUGCCUCAGGUUCUUCAGUUGUCUCUUCUUCCUUUGGCUUUUCAUCAGCUACUACUUGCUCUGCUGUUGGUGCUUCUACAGUGACUGCAGCCUCUUCUUUUACGGUCUCUGGUGCCUUCGGUUCUUCUAUUUUUUCCUCUGCUGGAAGGGCAGUCUGUGCUGAUACUACCUGAAAAUAUUUAUACCUCAUGCAUCAAGAAAAUUUAUAGUCGUAAAAUGCUAGCCCUAAUAAAAUAUGUUAAUUAAUAAAUGUUUCUUGUUUUAUAUAUAUUUAGAAUUGUUGAACCAAGGAGAUCAGGAGGAGAUCUUCAGUUAGGCUGACAGACCUACAAUAUCAUAUCUCCCCACCAAUGAUUUAUUAAUAAACCCAUCAAAUGCUCUUCAAUAUAUGUCAAACCAUUUUUCUUAUCAGCAAAAGAUUCACAAGACUAAGAGAUAAUACUAGAAAUCAUACAUACAAACAUUUUCACCUACAUGGCAGCACCAAGAAUUCAAGAUCACGAUCAUUAUGAACAUGUUUAUGACUUUCUUUCUUUCUUUCUUUCUUUUUUUUUUUUUUUUUUUAUAGCAGAAUACUCAUAUCUCGAUGAUGUUAUCUGCAUAUGUAUUAUAUAGUUAACAUCAUCAAGAUCAAGAUAAAUGUAUAUAUACAUAAAUGGAUGUUUUGCUAUGUAUGCUAGCUAUACGUUAAACCAAGAACCUUAUGAAAAUCUUAACAAGAAAUUGAUGGAUUACCUCAACAGUUGCCAUUGGAGCUCAAGAAAAUUGUAAAAGAAGGCUAAAGAUGAAUAAACUGAGAAGCGAAGAAGGGAGUAACUAAAGGAAAUAGAGUAUGAGAAAGAGAUAGGCUUUGAGUAUUUGAUGCAGAGAUGAUGAAUGAGAGUGGCUUAUAUAGAAAGAGAUGUAGGGGCCAGAACUUUGAAGAGAGUGGGGAGCAUUACUUGAGGAAUCUUGAGAUUUGACACCUCAUCUCACUGAAUUCAAAGAGAAUUGCCAAAUGUUAGUAAUAAUGUUAAGAGAAAAUUACAAAACAGCAUGCAUUUCUUUGGCAUUUUUUCCACUUUAAAUACGUUAUAUUUUGCUUAAUGAAAUUUAUAUACAUAAUUUUACUCAGUAAAAUUAAACAUAUUAAGUUGAUUUUUAUUAACAUAAUAUAUUUAUUUCUUUAUUAUUAUUAAAUAUUUCACUAUUAAAGUGGCAUUGAUGCGGUAUACUUUUUUUCUUGUGCAGUAUCAAUCAAUACACUAAUUUAACAAUCUCAUAGUAAUAUAUACUAUUUUUACUAUUACAGUAAACUACAGUGAUUUAGUAAAAAAGAAAUAACAUACAAAAGAUUAAAAUUAAUCAAACCAUAAACAUGUUCUCCUUUUCUUUUUACUUUCCCCUAAUGUUAAACAAGAUGCUGUACAUCACUAUUAUUAUUAUUUUUUCUUUUUCAUUUGAACAAUGAUGACUCUUUGGCUUAGUGUUUAUGCUGACCACUCAAUUGAUACACAUACAUAUAUAAAUUGAAAAUAAUCACUUCUUAAUAUUAAUCAAAUCAAUAAAAAGAAAUUUACAAAAGAAAAAAGAAAAAUGGGUGUAAAGAUUUUGGAGUAACCUAGUAUUAGUUGUUGUAAAUACUAAUUUCCAUUCUCCUUCUGAUUACCAGAGUUCAAUUAUUAACUCCCCAGACAAAAGAAAAGAAGAUUAAAAGUUACUUAAUUGUUGUAGCAGGCAUUUGAUUGGGUAGAGAGUAAUGAUAAUGGAGGCCAUUUUCAGCUAAGCCAUUAUCUUGGUUUUGGUUUUGUGUGCAUAUGUGCUUUGUGCAGUCGGGUCAUUCAGUUGAUCUUUGAUUAAUUGUUUUAAGGCACCUGUCAACUUCUCAUUCUUUUGUUUCAAUUUGAUUUUAAUCUAUCAAAAUUCCUUUUUUACUGUGCCCANNNUAUUUCUUUUUCACAUUUUAUUGUUUUUGUGUUCUCUGACGAUUCCGAUCUUUACUUAUGCAUAUAAAACAACUUAAUUUCUAAAUAUUAAUGAUUACUAAAAGUAAAAAUGAAAUUUGACGAGAUAACCAUAAGAGAGAAGGCAUUCUGUUCUACCUGAAAUUAUUGAAAUAUCUCAUUUUAUUAAGAAAAACAAAACAAAAUAUCUCUCGUUCCAUUUCGGCUAAAAUCUCGCCAUUUCGGACUAGAACAAUCGAGAUUAGAUCGAAAUAGCCAUUUCAGCCGAAACUAAUGAGAUAGGGCGAAAUGAGAUAACUUUAUUCAAAAAUUAUAUUAUUGAAUUGAAUUAAAUAGAUCAAUAACACUUAACUCCAACUCAAUAAAAUCUAUUUUUCUCUCUAUUAAUAAAAAUGAAUUAAAUCUAAAAUUUUGUAUAAUAAUCUCUUUAGUUUUGUCCAUCACUUUAUCUUGUGCUCUAUAGUUUAACUAUAUAUUCUUUUUACUAAUUUAUUAAAAUAUUUCUAUGAUUUAAUCUUAUAUUAUAUAGUAAUAACAACUCAAGUUUUAUGUAAAAUUAUAAAUUUCAUUCCAACCGUCAUUUUGGAUUUUAUCAUUGGGAUGAAUAUUUCGGUACCGAAAUAUUUCGAACUGUUCCGAAUUAUAUAUAUAAACUAUUAAAAUAAAACACUAUAAAAUUAUUAUCCAUAAUCUAAUUAAAUAGCAUCUUAGAAAACAACAAGCAAAUAUAAACUCAAUUUUUCAUUCUAAUGAUAAAAUUCAAAAUGACGGUCGGAAUGAAAUUUAUAAUUUUACACAGAAAUCCUAUUCUUAUUAGCAGUGAGAUCUACUAAGAUAGAAUUCUCAUAAAUGAUCACUAAUCCUCCCAAAACUGCAAUCUAUACUGGAAAUUGAAAUGAACAAUGACAUUUUACCUAUGAGCAAAGAGAGUAAAAGCACAAAAGAUGGCCAAAAUAAACAAAGCAAUCCAUGUUAGGCAGCAGAGGGGAGAACAAUCACAAAGUAGCAGCAGUAGUAAGAGAGGAAUUUGGGUAAGGGACCCACAUCACCAAUGUGUAUGAUUUACUUGUAGGAAACGAAUAGGAUUCAGACGUGGCACUUUACAAUGGUCCACGCCCUCAUGCCGCCUCCUAUAAGGAGUCACCUUUAAUUUAAUAAUCAAAAGAUAGCUCCACGGAUAUUGACAUUAGUGAAUUCCUUACUCAUUUGCUGAGCUGGAAGACUGUCAUCUCUCUUGUUCCUUAGCCAUUGUCAUGUGUCAUGCUUGUCUAGUUUAAUAGUUCAAUUUUCUUUUUGAUUAUUUUUUUAAUAUUAGUGCAAAAAGAGAUUAGAAAUUACCCUAAGUUGUCAAGAAUUCACUUGAUAGGAGAGUGAGUAAAAUAAUUUUAAAAAAUCAUAUAGAUAAAAUUAAAAUAAAAAAAUAUAAAAAUUAAUUACGUGGUUAAUUUUUUAACGUAAAAAGUACUGUAAUUUUUUUGUAAAACUUUAAUACCAUACAAUUUAUAUUUAAAUGUAUUAAUAUUAUUUAUAAUUCUAGAAAUUGAAUUUCAAAGGUCGCUAUAAAAUCGGUCUUAUCAAAUAGAUAAUAAAGUAUGAAGUUCUUUUUCUCUUUUCUUUUUAAAUUCUAUUAUAAUUAACAUGACUAGUAUUAGAUGAAAACUAAAUUGGUAAAAAGUGGAAUGAUAGUGGAAUCAGAAAUUAUUAACAUUUUAAUUCUUAUGAUAUUGAAAUAUUAAAAAAACACUACAAAUCCAUGAUCUUAUAAAAAUUCAGUAAACUUUAAAUAAACUUAUUCAUUAAGUGUCAACAUUCUUUUUUUUUUUUAAUUUCUUUUAUCAAAAAGAAAUAGAAUCAAUAAAUAUAGGAUUAAGAUAGUAUUAUAGUGUGAAGGAUAUUUCUGAACAUAAGAGUGUGUUUGUCGACUCUAAAACAUAGCAUAUGGCAUGUCAUGUGUGUCAUGAAAAGCAUUAUGGGCAACGUUAGAAUAAAAUUCAUUAUUAAAUUUCUAACAUUUUCAGUUUUAUUUUAUUAAAUUCUUAAACUUUAUUUUAUUUUAUUGAAAUUUUAUAUACAUAUUUUUCAAGUUAUUUUCUCAGGUGUUAUCUUUUUAUCUUUUGAUAUCAUUAAAAACCAUUGAACUCUUAAAUAAAAUAAAUCUAAAAAAUUUUCUUAAAAAAAAAACAAAGAAAAAUUGAAAAGAUUCAAUAAGAUAAUACAAAAAAUAUAUAAAAGUUUAAUAAUGGUGAGAAACAACUUGACAUUAACAACUAAAGACAAUCAUUUUAGGAGAAUUUUGAGGCAAUAAAAAAUCUUAUAGAUCCCAAAGAUCAACAUGCUACUGCAUAUACACAUAUAUGCUAGUAAUUGAAAACUUCGUACGGUAGCAGGCACCUGCAGUUGACACCUCGAGAUGCGUUUUUGCUUCUUUGCAUGAAUUUGUACUCUUCUUUUCUUUUUUUCUUUACUGUUUGCAAAACCCCGCAUCAUCGUUUUCCAUUUGAUUUCUUCCCUCCGUGCCGUUUCAGUCAUAAAUUUUGCUCGUUACUAUCGGUUUUUACUCUGUAAAGUGGAAUGGCCUUUAGCCCUUUUUCCAGGGUUUAGGUACAGCUUGGGCGGUGGCCUGGCCCACCUGAGUGGACCCCGGUUAUAGUUCCGGACAGCUCUUUGUUCCAAUGGGAUAAUGCCACAUGUAAUCGGAUCACCGACCACGUGGGACGAUGUUGUUUCCAUGUCAUUAUUGGAUGUGAUUGGGUCCUUUUGCUUGAUCAAAAAUAUGUGGGUGUGUGGGGUCCUGAGAUUUUUCUUUUAUAUUAUGGAGGGAGGGAUCGGAAAUAUUGAUGGAUGAGUGGAAUUUAGAGGCAAAAACCAAUUUUGAUGAGAAAAAGGGUCGUAGCUUUUGGAAGUUAAUGGUUCAUUUUGUUCAAAUCCAUUGAUGAUUGUUAGCAACUAUAUAUACUGAUGACGCAAUGGUCUAGCUGGCUAGUUGGUGAAGUCAUUUCCAUCUGCUUGUUUCAUCUCAUUUUAAUUCUUUCUUUUCAGAUCGCAUCUAACCAAGUGUGAUGUCUAAAUAUAAGACUCUAGUGCAUUCAUGUUGCAUAGAUUGAGAAAUUUGCGUAGCAAAUUAACAUCCUAUUUCAAAAUUCUUUUAGUGUGUAACUUUGUAAAUUAUUAAAAAUUAAUUCUUCUGUGACUAUUAUUAUUAUUUUAAUUAUAAAAUUAAAUUGAUAUAUAUAAUUUAAUAAAUUUUUAAUAUUUAAUAUUAAUUUAUAAUAUUUUCAGAAAAUAGUAAAAUAACUAUUUUUAAAUAUUUUUAUUUUUUAAAAAUUUUAAAAUUUUACUAGUGUAAUAAUAUAAAAAUUAUUUUAAAAAUAUUAAUUAAUUAUUUUAGUAUUAUAUAACUUAAUAAUAUAAUUGAUAUAACUUAAUAAUAUAAUUGAUAUUACUAUUUUUAAAAUUAAAAAUUUAUUAUAUAAUUAUAAAAUCAAUUUAUUAUUGAAAAUAUUACUUCAGAUAUUAUUUUCUAAAAUUAAAAUUAUUAUCUAAUUAGAAAAUUAAUUUAUUAAUUAAUAUAAUACUAAAAUAUAAUUAAUGUACUAUUUUUUAAGAUAGAAUGAGUAUCUGAUUAGAAAACUAUUUAUUAGUUAAUAUAAUAUUUAAAUUUAAAAAAAAUUAUUUUUUAAGAUUAAAGUAAGUACUUAAUUAGAAAUGUAACUUACUAAUUAAUAAAUUAAUACAAAAAACUAUAAAAUUACAUAUAAAUUUGAAUCCUACGUAUCAAAAAUAGUGGACAUAUCAAAGUAAAAUUCUUACAUUUAAAAAAUUAAGCACACGUGUCAACAAAUUAGACUCAGCGGCAAAAAUUAGGACUAUACUUUAAAACAGAAUAGUGAAGAAAUUUAUCAUUCAAAUUUGUCAUUGCUAUAAAGNNNNNNNNNNNNNNNNNNNNNNNNNNNNNNNNNNNNNNNNNNNNNNNNNNNNNNNNNNNNNNNNNNNNNNNNNNNNNNNNNNNNNNNNNNAUAAAUUUUAUAUAUUAGUUUUAGUUUCAAUUUGGCUCCUUCAUUGAUGAUUUGUAUCCCAUCGGUCAAAGAUAUUCUUAGUAACACAACUUUCAUUUCUUAAAAUGAUCAACUUAAACUAAUUUUGUGAAAUUUUAUAAAUUUAUCCUAUUUUAUUAAGGAUUAUUUAUUCUUUUUUGACUCAGUAAUAUUUUAACUUCAAACUAAAUUAGUUCAUGGAAAUACCCUCUUUUUUUAUUUAUAAAAAUAUUUUUCUCAAUUUAAACACUUACUGAUCUGCACACCAAAAAAUAAAUCAAAACUCUUUAAAAGAAAAAAUAUGACAUGACAAUGAGAUAAUCAUUCUCUAAAAUAUAACGAAUACAAAAGAUAUAUUCUUUUUACAUUUUUUUAUUUUUUUACUUAUUUUUUUAAUAGUUUAAAAGUUAUAGCCUAUCAAUAUAAUUACAUUUUUUUAGUUAAUUGAAAGAUACACUUUAUAUUUAAAGUUCUAAAAUUGUCACUGUGACAUCCUGUAACUAUUAUUUACUUUGAAAUACUUUCUACAAUUCACUAAUUUAUUGAAUCAAAAUUUUAAAUAAAUAUCUUUUCAAAUUAAAAUAUUAAAUUGUAAAGCAAUAAUGACUCAUAUUUUUAGAUUCGUGAAAUACACAAUAGCUUUUAUAAUAACUAAUCAAUUAUUUUUUUUCUUUGUCAUUAUUUAAUUAUUUCUUAUAUAUUAAUUUAUAAAUUAUUUUACACUCAUUUGUCUUCAUAAUUUAAAUUAAAUAAAAAUUACAUUUAUCAUAAAUUGUUAUGAAAUUUUCAUAUUUUUUUAAAAAUAAAAUAUAAUAUAUCUUGAAAUAAUAAAUAUUUUGAAAUAAAAAUAAUUCAAGAUUAAUAUCUUGGUAUAUAUUUUUUUACUUUUCUCUUUGAGAAUUUUCUCUUAAUUAAUUAAAAAAUUAAUUAUAUUAUCUUAUAAUUUCUCAUUAAUUAUUGCUUUACUUUUUGAUGUCUAAUAGCAUUAGAAUCUAUACAUUUCACUUUUUAGUUACAGUCGUAACUUUAAUACUUCUUUUCAUCUUUAAUUGUUUUCUAUAUUAACAAAUACAAGAUAAAUCUAAAUACCAAAAAAUAAUUUUUCGACGAAAAACUAAUUUUUAAUAUUUGAAUCUUCUUCAACACAUAAAUAACAAUUCAAGAAGUUGGAAAAUAUUUUUCUAAUAAAAAACUAAUUUUUGAUAUGUUGAGUCGUUUUUAACAGGUAUAAAAUAGUUAAAGAAAAAAAUUAAAAUCACUUAUAAAAAAUCAACCAAAUAUUGACUAAAUAAUAAUCAAACAUCCACCAAAUAUCAAUAAACUCAUUCAAUUAUAAAAAGAAAAAUCUGAAAUAAAAAAAUAAAAAAUUAUAUCGGAAUCAUAGAUAUUACCUAAAAAAUUAGAAGACUUUAAAACAUAUUAAUAGAAAAAUCAAAAUAAUAUUUUGUUUACAUAAAGUUUGGAAAAACUUAAAACUCUUUCGAGGAGCAAAAUUCUACAAAUUUUAAAAAGAUUUCAAAAUUAAAAUAUUUAUUUCUUUUAAAAUAAAAAGAUACCUAAAAUGAGAGAUAGAAAAAAAAAAGUUAAGACUCAAAAAGAAUUCAAAAAAAUUAAAGAGAAUUCUUCAAAAUUCAGAAAAUUAUAACAUCAAAAAAAUAUGAAUAGAUAUUGAUGGACAAAUAUACAAACUUUGAAAUAAAAGCUUUAAAAUGAAAGCUUUAAACAAAGAAAUAUAACUUACAAGAGUAGUUGAAUACAAGAGGAAGGUAGUUUCUCACUAUCACUCUCUGUUCUCACUAUAUCUCCAAGGACUUGAAAAAUACAAGAGUUUCUUGUGAUUUUUCAGUCUGCAUUCUUCUUUGGUGGCUCCUCUAUUUGUUGAGGUCUUCAGCCUUCAGGCUCAAUAAUUCUUGCUUUGGAUGCUCUUCAUAAUGGAGUGAGGGGCUCCACGUCUUUUGUAGGAAUUGUCUGCCACGCUUCAUCAUUGAGGAAUUUUUUUCUUUUUAAAAAAGUAACGGUGCAGAGUCUUUUGUCUAUUUUCUUUUCUUUUAAAAAGACUUUUUUUUUUUUUGGCAUUACCCAUUGCAGAAUUUUCUUGGGCUGCCAUUUCUGGUUUUCAACCCAAAGGCUUUACAAAGAUAUCAUUUGAUGGGCUUAAAUAUCCCAAAACAGUCAUCUCCAUUUGAGUCACCAUCUAGAUCAAUUGUUGCUGAGCUGGUGCUAGAAGAGGAAGAUGAAGCUUUAGAUUUUCCUUUUGAAGAGGCGGUCUAUGACAACUGUUUGAUCAAUUAUAAAAAAUCUUCUUCUGUUUGAGCCGCUGCUAGCUUUACAAUAAUGAAAGACUUUCGUGCCAGGAAAGUGGUAUGUUCUUUCGGAGGUGGCAAGAAACUAUUUUUCAAAAGAAAACUAUGUACCAUCUUUAGAGAUAAUUUUUCUUGGUGGUUGAAUUUAUCCCACCAUUUAACAUUAAAUCUUCGGGCAAUGAUGAUUUCUCCAUCUGCUGCUUGGUUGAAAUGGAAAUACCAUAUGCAUACCCACGGGAGGAAGAAGUUUGAACAAAAUAGAAGUAAGGGAGGAAAACGUCUUUCUAUUUUGUUGGAUUUAUAGUGAGCUUUGAAUAGAUUAAAUAAAGGGAGAACUUUUGAAAUUAUGGUUUCUGGAACGUUGCCAUAAUAAUUCCACCAUUGUUUUAAACCAACAUGGAUUUUUGAAGUUUGGAUUAUGCUUGUGUCGAAGUAGAAAAGCCAAGAAUGGCUUUGUCCUUCGUUUUGUAAAAGAAAGGUAUUAAACCAGGCUUGUUGGUAAUCCCAAUAGUUGAAAGUUGUAUUUAGGCUUGAAGGGUAGGUGAUUUGGAGGGAGGUUGGAAAAGAUCUUGGCGAAUGUAAAUCCAUUCCCCAAUCUAAAGGGUGAAGGAUUCUUUGGAUGGCGCAUGUGGAAUAUGCUGGGUCUUUGUGGUUUUUAUGCUUUUUAAAGUGUUUGAAUUUUGCAGAACCAGUUACCUAAAAGAUAGACUGGUAGUAAGAUUGGAGUUUUGAUUUAUUCCAGAGUUUAAAGUACCAUCCUGGAGGAAAAACUUUCGAAACUAGUUUUGAAGGGCUUUCUGUACAAAAUCCUUCCUCAAUAGUUAAAAUGCUUUGAAAGUUUUACUUUUCUACAUAUUCAUUGGUUUUGAAAAGUUUUGUUUAAGACAAAACUAUUUCUUGUGAGUUAGGCUUUGAAAUACUUUGAGAGCUCUGAGAUAGAUUUUGAGGAAAAAUUACUAUCUCAGGUUUUGGAAAAGGGAUAGAGAGUAUACCUUUACCUUUGUUUGAAGAGGAGGAUGACUUUGGAGAAAUUUCUGAUUGGACUUCAGCCCUUGGUACUUGCUUUGAAUAUUCUUCGACCAUCUUUAAAAACUUGGAAGUUUGCUGAGCAAGCCACUCCUAAAUUUGGAAUUGCUUUUGGGUCGGGUCUUCUUUGCUUUUGUCUAUUUCUUCCUGGAUGAUCUCAGUCCAGGUUCUGAUAGGCUUUGAAGAGGAGGGUAAAAUCUCUUUUUUCAGGCUUUGAACAACUUUUGUAUUUGCUGUUGGAUUUUCCUCUUUGUCUUUUGCUCUCGAUUUUCUUGGCAUUGUCACUCCUGUUUUUGAAGGAACUCUCUGGUUAAAAAGUCUGGAAUUGAAUUCGAAUAUCCUCUUAUGUAUUCGAUUUCAAAAUAAAAAAUGGAAAGAAUGGCUUGCUAUCUGGCAAAAAUUUGUUUUGAAGCUAUAUUUUGAACAUCUUUUUGCAAUACUUCUUUCGCAGAUUUACAAUCAAUCCUUAAAUGAGAUUUUUUAUUUAAAAGGUCACUUUGAAAUUUUGAAAUGCAUAAUACUAUCGAAAAAAUUUCUUUUUUGAUAGUUGAAUAAUUCUUUUGUGUAUCAUUUCAGUGUGCAGAAGUAAACUGGACGAUGCAUUCUUUGUUGUUUUGAACUUGUUUGAGAAUCUCACCAUAACCUAAAUUUGAUGCAUCAGUUUCAACAAUU